GCGGGGAGAGUGGUGGCAGCGACAGCUGGAGGAGAGGCAGCAGCUGGGGGUGGAGAUGUGGAUUCUGCAUUCCCUACAAACGUGCCUGAAAAUCUUACACAGGAGAGAAGAGCAGUGUUGGGUGAGGCUCUGCUGGGAGGAACCGAGAAACGGCGCUUCCCUUCAGCAGCCACAGUGCAGAGGUGAUACUGCAGAGUUCUGCUAACAGCUGGAACGUACCUACAGUGCCCUAAAGGAGGGAAGUGCACGUAGUGCUCAGCUGCUGAGGCUGUGGAACAGGGAAAUCUGUCUGCUUGCUUUUCUUCCAGCGUCCUGCUAAAGGACUGGCAGCAAACUUGCUGAGUGUAGCACUGGGAGAUACUGCAGCUGGAGGCUUUGGGGCUCUUUACAGAGAUGGCAAUGAAGCCAGGUCUCGUUUAUCUGUAGAUUUCCCAUUCUGCACUAUGGGAGUGCAGCUCUGGCCCUUGCUGGCCUUAGUAGUGAGCCUGCAAAGACUCCACGGUUUGGCUGAGGUGUAGAGCAGAGCUCUUAGAACCGGUCCUGUGUAACAUUUUACUUACAUUUCUCCUUUGGAGCUGCAAGCAUGGAAAAGAAUGAAACAGGAAUAGUGAGUGAUCAGACAGAGGUCCCUCCUGGGUCAGAGCAUAACAGGUAGCAGACAGAAGAGCCCUCCCCGCAGCAUGGAACUGCUUACUGCUGCAGCUCAGCACACUCAGGCUUGUUGCUUGGCAACAGGAAUUUGUCUCUUGUGUCAUUUAACUAAUUUAGAAGAACAUUCAGACUCUUGGCCAUCGUGUUUUGAGAUGAACGUAUAAAUCUCAGAUGAAUCUAACGGUAAAGCCUGCUCUAGAUGUGUUAGCAUUGAGCACCAUUCUGUAAGCUCAGAAGCUCUGUCAGAGCUUGUAGGGGGCUGUUAAGCUUCUGUUGAAGAGGAGGGAGGCCUGAACUGGCGAUGACCAGACGAGGGAGUAACCCUUAGGGAAGCAAAAGCCGUUUCUUGUCUCACCUGCCCAGCUGCUUCUGCAGGUCCAGCAUGUACUGAUAGCACUGAGCGUAGUAGUUGGUCUGAGACUCCACAAACUCAUGGAGACAGCGAAGAUGAUUCACCUGGAUGGAGAAGGACCAGAAGCCAGGCUGAGUUUGGGUGCCAGGACACCAUGGUUGAAUAUUUUCAUUGUCAAGUUGGGAAAGCUGCAGAAGGCCAAUGGUGAUAGGAGAAAGGAGGCUGUUCUGGCACUCCAGCAGCGUGCACGUGGCGAGUGCACAAGAGAAGAACAAGGUGUUUGUGCCUCAGACACACCUGGAGGACUGGGCAUCCCAGUGGCACUGCCUGUGCAUGCCUCGUUAUGAUUUUAGUGUGAGCACUCCAAGCCUUUGGAGGAGGUUGCUGUUACAUCUCAAUUGAUGAGCUCUUCUACGUCUGCUCCCGGUGAAGGGCUCAUCAUCCCCUUGGCAGCCUUCUAUAAAAGAGCCAAGAGCCUCUCAGCCCCCACCCCAGCUACCCGGGAAGACUCACGUGUGUGCUGCUGAUCCCCUCCAGCAGCAGACGUGUCACCUCUGCCUGCCGAUCAAACUCGGUCUGAGUGAGCCGCAGCUCGUGCUCUGCCUGCAAAACAGGAUGGGGUGUUCGACACAGCAAAGGCAAGGACCCCUGUUCUGCUUUUUCCAGGGGAAGCCAAUACCCACCUCCUCCUCUAACCCCUCCUCCCCUUUUGGCACUGAGAUGAGUGUGGUGAUGGCUUAGUAGGGUCCGUGUGGCACUGAAUGUCAGGCACAGGACACCCUGGGUUGGAAUCCCAGUGGUCUCUGGCUGUAUUUCAACUUGAUUCCUGCUCAAUCAUUCAUUGAAUCACUGCAGCUCAUGGCAUGACAGCUCAAGACUGAUACGUCAAGCCAGGAUGCUCCUAAAUUAGAACGUGAGGUUGGAGAGGUUGUGUUAAUCCUGAGAUAGGUGGAAAGCCAACGCUGCGCUACCACCCAUCCCUUUACUGCCUGCUGUAGUGCUCCACGAACCGCACAGCCAGCGCUGCACAUCAGUGUCCGCCCCAAGCAAAGUGUCAUUGGAAGCAGGACAGUUCUUGUCAGCAUGCCUGCAAGUCUGCUCCAAAGUGCAGUUGUGGAGCAUUGCUGACACCCCCUCCUAUCCCUCAGGUCUCUCCAGAAGUGCCACUUCUGCCAGUGUCCUUUUUAUCACCACAGAACAAAGGCUGAGGCCAGGGAGCAUUUCCCAGAUUAAUAACUACACUCCAGCUGAGAUGACGAUCCAGCUUCUACCAAAGGCUCUCCUUUAAGGCUAGUUACUUAUUUUGAGCAGGAGGAAUUCAACCGUGGUUAUCAGAAGGCAGCUAUGCAGUAGACAUUGGGAAUUCAAAGACAAACUGACACCUGAGACUCUGCCUAAUACAGAGCAUCUCUUCCCCCAGCAGCAAACAGCUUACUUCCACUAAGGCAGCGUUGCAGUACCAGAACACCCCGAUGAUUUCUUGCAUGAGAAGAGCUCCAGAAGUGGCAGAGCUGUCUGAGGCUCUGCUGCCCGCUCUCCCCCCAGCACCACAGGGUGACAAACAGGAUUAUUUGUCCCCGUUCCUUAGCACCAAGGAGGACGUGCGAGUUGUACUGCUGUAUGAAUAGGCUGGAAGCAAUAAAUGCUUUGACUGUCUUUUAAUCAGAUUUGCCUAUUUUAAGCUACAAACGAUCUAUUUUCUUGCAUCCUCUGUAUAAAAGGGAUUAUUUAAAGGAGAAGAGGGGACUAUGCUAGGAAAAUCUCAGUACAGAGCCUUAUCAAGCACCAAGAUUUUUGCUUCAGUUUGCAGAGCAGAGACUCCAGUAGUGGUAGAGCUGUCUGAAACUCGUGACCGACAACAGCAACACUUCAGUCCAUCCAACCAGGACUAAAGGAACAGAGCCCUGCGUGCCUGUGACUGCAGUCAGCUCAUUUGUUUGAGGGACUGAAGAAGAAUUUAAAGUAAGAACGGCUGGUCUGCUCUCACGAUGCAUUUAGAGUAAGGCAGCAAUGGGAUGCUAUCAUGCACAGCAUGCAGGAAUGUGCCAUUCUAUCCCCCUGCAGUUCAGGCUACCAUCUGAUUGGGGGUAUCUGACACGUGAAAGGCAAUGGGAAGGUGCCUCUGGAAGCCCCAUGCCAUGCUGGAGCUCCACACAGAGUUCACCCUGGUCUUUAGUCCAUCAGCAGCCCAUCCAUCUUCAUAGAUGAGUUACAAACCCAAGAAUAUAUAUAAACAAGAUCUGGGACUUGGCCCUGUGGAUCCCCUCAGCAGGGAAGGUGCAGCUCACCAGACUGAACUCCACGGCGGGCUCCAAUCCUCCCACCCUGCCCUCCUCACAGAGCCGUUCCCUCCAUCAGCAGGGGCUGUUCACAAGGAAACCUUCAGUCCUCACUCCAGCCCUGCUCAGAGCUCCUGCCUGCUCCCCGGGGCAAGCAGGCAAUGGACUCCUGGCUGCUAACACAAGGCACAUGCAGCACUGGAGCAGGCAGGGCCCUUCCCACAGGAGCAGAGCUGAACUGUGGUACAGACAUCAACUCUGCUCCUGUGACACCCGUGCAGGGCUCUCCCAGCUGCUCGUAAUCACAAGCAGGCCUGGUUUGCCUGGGAAAUCCUUCACAUUAAGCAUGGCCAGCUGGCCCAGGGGCAGCUUCCUCCCAGAACAGCAAUGAGCAGCACAGCCACAGCACUGGGACCGGGGCUGACAGCUCAGGCACCGAUUUUCCCGUGCCCACACGAGUGGGGAGGAGCCUGCAGCCCCCCCACUGAAUGCCGCCAGCGCCCCAAAAAGGUUUGAGCACCAUUUCAGCUGGGUACUUACUUUUUCCACCUCGUCGCUCCAAAGCUGUGGGGACCACAGAGCAACAGGAAAGGAGGUCAGUGUUGGAGACGUCGAGAGGCACUCGGCAUUAACACCUAUGGGCAAGGACGCUCCGUGGACGCAGCAGGCCAGCUCCAGGGACAGCCAGCCCUUCACCCAGCAGCAGCUGCCAGGCUUGGGUCCCUUCCUCUCACUCCUGCAUUCCUGAGCUCGGUUUCACAAUGGGAGAGCAAGUCUGUGCCACCAAAGCCAGCACUCCAGCUCUGCUCCCUGCCAGCGUUUUUAAGAUAACUGUGUUUAAUGAGCUCCAGGAGGACGCAGUUAAGCAGCAGAGUCCUCUGGAGUGCAUGGGUUACUUUGCUGAAGCCUGCAGGACACAGUGUGGAAGGACAGCCCUUCUUUUAGGAGUGCUGUGAGGCUGGUGAGCUGCUUAAGCCCACAAAUAGGGCCUGGGAACUGCUGUGAGCUCAAGUCAGAGGCCAGCAAUCCUCAACCACUGGUCUAGAGAGCUCAGGUUAAUGGGUUCAGAAUCCAGGCAGCCUGCAGCUACCAGUGGUCAUGUUCAGCUACAGGAAGAAGGGAGCAAUGGCUGGAUGCUGCCUUCAAGCCAGGCAAAACAUCAAGCUACUCUCCUCCCUGGGUGCCUUCCUCUAGCCCUGCAGGUGAGAGCAGGCAGCUCCUCAGACAGACUUCCCCAGAAGUCUCCCAUCUCCUUUCAGUGUCCCCCACGGGGGCACAUUUGGGCAGCACAACACUGACAGCUGCUUGCUGGGAUCUGGCUCCAGGACAAGAAACAAUUGACAAAAGUCAUGCAUAGCGAUGGGCAAGGGAGAAAUGAGGUAGAAAAACACAUUGAUCCUUCCCAGAGGUCCUUGGCCUGGCCUUUCCUCAGCAGACAACUGCUCCUGAGCUCUGGCAACAUGAAGGGAUGCCACUAAGGCUCCCUGGAAGCACACCAGCCUGCCAGUAACACCCCCAUCCAUGGGGCUGGGGGAGAUGGCCUCACCUCUGCUGCCUCUGCAGACUGGGGAAGUUCAGCACAGCACUGCUCGAGCAUAGGUGGGAUGCUGGAGUGUGAGGAGAACCCCCUCUGUUUGUAUCCAGGAUCUCCCAGCUGAGCUUUGCUGCAGUUCGUUCACCAGGAACUGCCCUCAGGUGGGCUGUGGCAGCCCAGGUGCACAGACAGCCCCACCAGCAAAGUAAGGAGCGCCAGUGCUGCUGCUACGGGGGAAUGGCUGGGGCAGGAAGCUGUUGGUCCUGUGGUUCUGCUCCUGUUUCAUGGAGAGGGACUCACCACCCGGAUGACCUCCUCCUGCCUGGAGCCAGAGGAGCCUGAGUGCAUCCUGGUGGAGCUGAGAACUCACAGCAUUACUGGGUGCAGGGGAGAGCAGGACCACCUCUUUCAGCAGCAGCUUGCAGCAAGAUCAGAUGAAAGCAACAGCCAGCAAAGGAGAUUAGAGAACCUGAUGGCUGCAGAAACAGCUCUGCCCUGAACCAACUUCAGGAUCCACAUCCUGAGAUCAGGUAACGGUGCUGUGAGGCUCCCUGGUUUUGCUGUAAAAGAAACAUUCCUGCAGCUGACCCAGUUGAGCACCAGUUCUGUUUUUGUGCAGGGAAGCUGAUGAAGUGAUUAAUAAUGCAGGGCAGCCUUUUGCUGAGUGCCAUUCUCACUCUCCAGGAAGAAGAAAGUCAUGCUGCAUUCCAGGGCAUCAAUAAUUCAGCCAAAGGUUGGGUUUCCUCUGGGAGGCUUGGCUGGCCAGCAGGAAUGUUAGAUGCAUUACCAGAGACCAAGUGGACACACAGGCUGGCAGAUCAGGAGAGCAACACUUGGGCAACAGGCAAAGAUUACAAAAGGCACAGCUGAGCUGGACUACAGUUAGGGCAGCUGCAUUCACAGCUUGGGGAAAACUGCUCUUUCCCUAUGAGAGCAGUUAAAGGCACUGAUGGGAAUUCAGGAGAGCGAGCAAGCAGAGCUGAGCUGGAUGUGUCCCUCUGGACUACAGCUGUGCCUGCAGCCUGGCUACUUAGGGCCACCAAGGUUAAGCUUUAAAAUAGCACAUGCACUGUUUUCUUUGCUGAAAGCAUUAGCACCUUCCUCUCCUUAAAGCCAAAGGGAACAAACGCCGCUGCUGCCACAUCUGUUUUACACAGUGCAGCCUAACUGGUGUCUUCCAGGCUUGUGUGAUUUCCCCAUACCUCUCCCCUUCAACAGGCCCAGGCUGCUAUGCUGGCAGCUGUCAGGGUGGCUGCAGCCCCCUUGCAGGGCAUCUAGUGGCAGAAUUCAGGUCUUUGUCCCACUUGCAGGGUCACCAGCUUGUUCAGCUGAACGUUACUUAUGAGACAUCAUUAUAGGGUGAUUGUAUUCCACCUUAGGUCAUAAGGAUCGAACCAGAGCCAGGAGUCCUAAACCUGGAAUUGUCUGCUGCAUCUGUCAGUGUAUUUGGGCCAUUGGAUUUUCUGAAGCAUCUUAACAGCUUCUUAAUGCCCAGGGUAUUGUAAUAUUUGCACUUCUGGUGAUCAGAGAUAGCUGAACUGAUUCUGCCAUAAGUCCACCUCCCAUCCCGUACAGGGCUGCAUUAGGAAAGAAGCCUUCGCCACUUAGUCAGCAUCUAAAAGUUACCUGGAUCUCAACUGCUUUGGGCUACAUACAGAGUGUUUGGUCACUGGGAGUCACAAAAGCUAGGCUGUGGGCCAAGUAAAAUUGUGCUAAAGGACAGAAGGAAGCCAUUAACAGGACAGCUUCGUUAAGUUAGGAGCAAAGCAGUGAGGAAAGGACGCAAUCCUUCCCUUGUGUAUUAACGGACGUGUUUCUAAUGGAAACAUGCUCUGUCUUGUGCCCCUUGCCUUCAAAACCCUCUCCUGAAGUCACCUCCUGUACUCUUGAUUUUUAAGGUGCCCAGGAGCCAAGGCAUUAUCCUCAUUAACGUCAGAAAACAGAGGGGAAACAUCUACUUUAUCACCAGAGCUCAGGGAGAUGGAAGAGUCCAUCUUUGUCCGGGAGCUUUAAGAUGGAACAAGUCAAGAUACAGCUGCUAGUGGUAACUUUAGUCAGCACCCACUGACUUUCCAUCAGAACUGAUAGAAGGCAGACACCCACAAUCAUCUCCAGACAUCCCUCAGAAAAUCUGGCUUGCAGCCUGUCUAGAGCACAGCCGUCCAAUGUGUCACCUUCAGAACUGAUGCUAACUCCUACAGGGAGGCCAGAACUGCUUUUAUAACAUCCUCUGAGGAGGUUUGGGAUCAAACCCGUUUACUGAUAACUGGAAGAUGCAGGUGACAAAAAAAAAAAAGUCUUAUUCUCCUUCAGUGAAGAUAAGGAUGAUUUCUGUGAGGGCUGCCUGCAGGUGCCAGAGCUGUUAGGGAUGUAACUGCAUCCCUUGGAGGAUGCUAACUAGAUAGCGGCAACUGGUGAAACAAGUGUCAGUAUAGGAAAUCCUCAUCUGGGAUUCCAAAUCCUAGAAAAGCUCUUAAUCCAUGCAGUUGUACGAGCCUAGGAGUUUAUUUCCCACUCUCAUGGCAUCACGGCUUACAACUACCCUUUUCCUAUGCUUUAGCUUGUAACUGCUUCGCUUUUAUGAAGCAUUUUCUGAGAGCGUAAGAGAUGCCAUAAAGCCUGCAGGACGCUGCCCUGCGGGGGGGUACACAGCCUGGUAAGACAGUUGCUGCAUACACAGCUAUGGAGAAAUACUGCACAGCUCCUUCCCCAUGGCCGUGUCUGCCCUGCUCCUGCUGGACGGGCACUGCCUUGCCCCCCAGGAGAGGGGAGUCCAGCAAGGUGCCCCGAUUCUCCUCAGGUAGGAGAAUGGCUACGUGGUGCCUGGGGUAAGAAAAGCCACGUAAAGGUGGCAGUGGAUUGCUGAGGUCUUUUGUCAUGACCCGGGUUAAGCCUAGGCCAAAAAUCCUUCCUGCCCUUCAGCCAGCACCUACCUCAGGUUGUACCUGGCAGGUUUCAAAGCCAGGAUUGCUGCUGGACUAAGCCUCGGGGAAUCACUCCAGAGGUGGUUUCCUGGCCACAUUCUGCCUCCUUUUCGGAGGGCUUCAGAGGGCUCAGCAGUGCUACAGCCCUUUUCAGUACAAGGUAAACUGUCAUGUGCUGGCCAGACACCUCAGCCAGACAGCAAUAGCUAAUGCUGUCUGAGUGGCACAGCACAUAAUGGCCAGUCCAUUUAUCUCCCAGUUGCUGCAGUUCCAGUAAAGCAGCAUUUUGUUAAACGCCUGGAGCUGAGAAAAACAUCCCCAGAGCUAGAGAAAACAGGACUUAUUCCAGCCAGGUCCUAUUUGUCCCCUGGAAGAUCUGCUGUGCUGAAGUGGCUGCUACAAACCCAAUCUUCACCGCCAACAGCAGACCUUCCCUGCUAUUUCUGGCUCUUGGUAGUGACAGAGCAGCGCUCACCCAUGCUGGAUGAGGGCUCUUUGGGGACACCCACAUUUCAGAAAGCGGUUCUCCAUCUUGGUAAGGCAAUUCCUUCCAGCCUCCCUGGCCAGCACAAACACACGCAUCCUGCCUGCAAGUACCAGUGACCAUUUUCUUUCAAGUCAUUACUACUGUGACUACUCGCAUUAAUAUUCAUACACAAGAUGAUGUGGAGUAGGUGUCGCAAGCAGAAGCCACUACUUAUAAACGCCUCCUUGCUCUAGAACUGGUGUGCAGACUCUGUUCCCAUGCCUGUCUCCUUCCUACGCCUUGAAGCUGAAAAACCACUUAUCAGGGACUUACAAUACAUCUUCUAAACAUGCGAUUUCUUUACAGUAUUUCUUCCUUUCUUCUGCUAUCAAGGUCAUUUGCAUGAGAACAGCAUCUUUAAGCCUUCCAUCUGCUCCUUAUUUUGCACCUGUAGUUAAUAUUUAUUUUUUUUUUCAUGACAUAUGACUCAUUGGCAGGAUUACAGGAGAUGGUAUCUGUUUACCGGAGACCGGUCCCUAAAAGAGCCAGGAUUAUUCCACUGCACAGGGCCAUUUGGAACGACACAGCGCUGCUCUGUUUGUUUGUCAGCCCCCACAGCACGGGUAGGACAAGAAGCCCAGUCCCAAAACCGCCAGCAGGGGUUCAGCUCUCGGGCAGGGUGCCAACCAGCUCUGAUUUGCCUCUCUCCUCUCCUGCCUGCCCGGGGGCAGUUUCCCAGUUACCCCCGAGGAGCAGGCAGGCUCAGCAGCCACCUCUCACCACCUGCUGCACACUUUGUUCCUCACAAGUAGCCAAGCUCCUUCACUCUGUGGUUUUGGGACACGGCUGCAUCCCGGGCAGGCUCCUGGUGUUUCUAAAGGAUGGUUUGAUGCCACUUUAGUCCAGUGAGACAUUGCCUGCUCGGCCUCAGCAGCUCUUUCCCACCUCCGACAGCGCUGUGUUUUGUCAGAUCCUGGCAGCCUCUGCAGCCUGACCUCCUGGGUGACAAACGCCACUUCCACCCCACCUGCCUGACACAGCACAGACCCCCAGCGGGUCAGGUCGCUUGCUUAGGUGCACUUAGCAGCUAUCUACAAGACUGAAGAACAGCUUAAGGAUAACAAGAACAAUGCAACCAGCAUUCGCCCUGUUCCUCUGCCCCAGUGCAGCCAGGAGCAUCCCUGCUGCUAUCGCCCCAUUAACCCUUACGGAGCUCUGCCUGGCCUCCCCACCCAGCCCAGGAACACGGUCAGCUCUGCUCCACGUUACCCAGCACUGCUCACUGCAGAUGUAGCUGUGCGAGCCUCGAUGUCAGCCCCAAACGCUUUUCUACCUUACAGAAAGCUGGAAAAAACAAAACAGAGCAACAAAACUGCCCUAAACCCGUAACGUGUGCUUCAGAAAGCCUCCCCGUGCAGACUCUGGGCUGUACAGCGCGGGAUGCUCCGUGCCCUGAGGCAGAAGGGAGGAAUGGGGAAGACGACUGCAGGCCGGCGGGGGGAGCGGCCCAGGGCUGGGGCACCCCGCGGUGCUUCCCCUCGAACCCCGGGACUCCCCC
Gallus gallus (chicken) is the source of this 9764-nucleotide long non-coding RNA. RefSeq lists it as uncharacterized. NCBI's taxonomy places the organism in Eukaryota, Metazoa, Chordata, Aves, Galliformes, Phasianidae. The transcript is spliced from 4 exons. The record is from RefSeq and is a predicted model, not a curated record.